AAAAAGAGGAACUUUUCUAUGGAUUGAAACACCUGGGCGUUCACUCAUAUCCAAAUCCUCUCCUUCUGCUCCAUUAGGCAAUUCCCAGUCAAAUUUCUGAACAAUAUUUGCCAGAACGAGUUCGUUAGUUGCCAUUGCGAACGAGAUUCCUGGACAACCUCUUCGACCAGCCCCAAACGGGAUCAACUGGAAAUCGAGUCCUUUGAAAUCUAUUGACGAAUUUAAGAAUCUCUCCGGCUGAAACUUCUGUGGUUCUUUCCAGUAAAGAGGGUCUUGGCCAAUGGCCCAUGCAUUAGUCAUGACCAUCGUCCCUGCGGCGAUGUCAUAGCCCAUUACAUUGACAUCUUCUCUUGCUUGCCGAGCAACCAGUAGUGGGAUUGGGGUGUGGAAUCGUAGAGUUUCCUUCACUACAGCUUUCAAAUAACGCAUUUUCUCCAAGUCAGCAUCUGUUAUGUCAUGUUUGCCAUUGAGAAUUCCCCUCACCUCAUUUUGCAACUUUUUCAUGACUAUUGGGUGCCUUAAGAGUUCUGUCAUUGCCCACUCUAGAACUGUGGAUGUGGUAUCAGUUCCAGCAGCAAACACAUCCUAAAGUAAUCAAGAAAGUUAAAAAACUUAAGGCUAAGAAAAUUAAUAGUCACUUAGGAACUUGUAGGUAUAAGUUUCCUUCAAUAACAGUUUUAGCUUUUAAAUGAAGUUGUUCGAUUGUAUUACGGUUAUAUGGGAGGGAGGGGUGCUUACCAAAAUCAUGGCUUUGAUACCAUCCCUAUCAAUGGAUACACCAGUGGUAUUGUCCUUGUAAAUCUUAAGCAGAAUGUCUACAAAAUUCUCUCUACUUUCAUCCUUUCCGCUCGAAUUUUCCAUAUCCCGGUGUUCUUGAAUCACUCCUUCAAGAAACUCAUCAAGUUCUUUAGCAACAAAAUCUACUCUGGCAUCGAAACCAUUAACACGAUUAAUCCACGCCAGCCAUGGAAUGAAUUCCCCAACACUGAUAGUCCCCAAAAGUCCCAAAAAUUCAGUAAUCAGCUGCAGAAAUUUCUCCCCAGUCGCCCCGUCCCUGUAUUUCCUACCGAAAGCCGACCUACAUACAACGUCGUUUGUGAUUGCCGUAAAAAAAUCACUCAUAUUCAAUGGAGAUGAAGAAAGACACGAUUCCUUAAUUUUUUCCAUCAUCAAGGCCGUUUCUUCUUCCCUUAUAGCAUGGAAUGAUUGUACCUGUUAUGGACAGAAAUGCACUGUUAGAAAAUCUUAUCAAGUCACUCCAUGCAAUUCUAAACUCUUUAAGUACUCUCAGUUCAUGUACUAUGAGCAUAUUUGGCCUAGAAUAACGUCGUUUUUGCUUAUUUCCGGCUGUAUCAAGAGUGGUAUUGCCGAAAUAAACAGCUUCUUGUACAAAAGGAGCAAGGGUCAAUCAUGUUGUAAGAGGAACGGGAAAUAGUAACAGUACCCUUUUGUUACUCAGAAGCUGGAGUACAAAUAUGCUUUUCAAUUGCCUCCAGUAUUCUCCAUAUGGGGCAACUGACAAAUCCUUCAUGUCGUAAAGAAGCCGCCUGGAAACGCUAGAUUCGGGCCUGUCAGCGAAACUGACAUCAUGGGUUUUCAUAAUUUCCCUGGCGGCGUCCGCCGAUGAAACGAUGAGCGUCGGAACAUUUCCAAAGUGGAGAAGCAUUAAAGGGCCAUAUUUUUUGGACAUGGAUUGAAGGGACUGGUGUGGGAGCGUGCCGAUUUGGUGGAGAUUUCCGAUAAUCGGGAGUUUCGGCGGCGAUGGCGGCAGAUUUUUGCUGUUUGUAGUGGCCGCCACCCUUUUGACGAAUUGCCAUACAAGAAAUAUAGCGAUAAAAGUGAAUAUAAAUGGAUUUUGUAAAAGAAAUUCAGCCAUUUGGUGCUUAAAACUAAACAUACUUUCUGAUUGUCUGUACUCUGUUUUCUGUCCCUAAACUGUACGAGGCUCUUCUAUAUAUACAGACAAGAAUGCGCGUAAUGAGCGCCUGUAACAUAACUUAGUGGUGCAAAGGAUAGGAGUGAGAUUAUCUCACGCCUUGCUGACAGUCGCAGUGUACGGGUUUGAUUCCCGAAACAUGGAAUUGGACUUCUUGUAAGCGCAAUGUAGAAACAGCUUGGAGCACAUCCCGUGAUUUAACUCCCUCACAAAAUUCUAGGGGCGGGGUGAUGGAACCCUCAAGGUUGGGGUUCAACCUUUUUUUUUAGGAAUGCGCAUAAUGAGACUGCAUGCUUACUUUGCUAUACACUAUUACACUAUUUUAAUAUUUUUUUUUACAAUUUUUCAAUUACACAUUUAUCAAAAUCUAUUUAAAAAUUUUGUUUUAAUUCACAAACGGAGACUUAAUAUGCCUUUUAAGCCUAUUUUAUUUAGACUGGUUUGAUGUAAUUUUUUUCUUUAAAAGUAAAAUUUGAAUAAUGUGCUAUUAAAAUGUAAAAAGAAAAAAAAAUUAUUAAUUUAUAUCCAUAUUUUAUUGUGAUAAUGUGUCGUAAAAAAUGAUUAUUAAUUAUAAUAGGUGCCCAAUUUAACUUAUUCUAUUGGGUCAAGCCCCCACUCUAAAAUGUCCACACGUAUUUAUGAAAAAAUUGUCGCAAAAACCUAACGUUGUAUGUUAAGUGGUAAAAGAUGAAUAAAUAGAUAUUUGGGCUAACAGUUUAAUUACACUCAGGCAUGACUUGUAAACAUCGAAUGACAAGUCUAUUUAUACAAUUAUUUUGUACAACAUUAUUCACGGUGUUGUAAUUGUCAAAAAAAAUAUUGAUCGAAAAGAUGAAUUAUUUUUAAAAUUAUCCAAUGUGGCAUAUUGUCAAUAAUGUUGUCAAAAUCAUUAUACAUCAAGCAUGAUUGAACAUCGAAUUGGUGAAUGGCAAUAGAAAUUAAUUUAUCUGAAAAAGUAAACCACUUAUUUUCAAUCACAUAUUUUUGUUAGGUUCCAUUUCUUCUACGAAAAUAUCUUUAUUAGAAAUUUGUCUUACAAAAGGAAGAAAAACUAUGUAUAUUAAUAUUUAUAUAACUUACAAUUUUUUCAAACUUUGUCCAACUAACUAUUUAAGAUUUCGAGUUAGUUCCUGUUUGGUUUUGUUAUCACAUUUUUAUUAGGUUUUGAUAAAGUCUGGACUUGUUAAAAUUAAUUUUUGACCCUAAUUUAAAUUUGUAUUAAUUUUCUAAAAGUAAAUUAAACAUGGACUUAUCAUAGAAAGAUAAGUUCAUUUAUUUAAAUUUCAUCAUCCACACGACCUUCUCUAUUAUUAUUAUUACUGCUGCUGCUACUAAUAUUAUCGCCGUUGUUGUUAUUAUUCGUAUCAAAGAUCUACACAAUUUUUAUAACAAGAAAAUGAUAUUAUGCUUAAUUCUAUUCUUUAAAAACUCAAAUUAUCAAAAAGGAAAUCGUCCAAUUUCUUGAAAAGACAAUAUGUAACAAGAAAGUAGCUAUAGCUUCUUAAAAGUUCAUUAUCAAUUAAUAUUUUCCUAAUUUAACCAAACUAUUAAUUCAUCUAGAAUUAAUGACGAAUGAAUGGCUAGUAACACGCAAAGAGUCCUCUACGUCUAUUACAAUGGAACUAGUCCAUACUUGAUUGCAUUUGAUUAAUAUUAAUAUUUUUAUUUUUAUCAUGAUCGGAUAUGUCGAAAUUGUGGUUUAAAAUCCAAACUUCCCUACCUCUCCUACUGUCGAAAUUGUGGUGUACAAUCACCCCCCGGGGCGUAGUGUAGUGGUGUAAAGGACAGGAGUGAGGUUAUCUCACGUCUUGCUGGAAGCCGCAGUGUAGAGGUUCGAUUCCUGAAACAUGGAAUUGGACUCCUUAUAGGCGCAGUGUACAGGCAGCUCUUGUUCCCUGGCUUGUUGGGGCACAUCCCGUAAUUUACCUUCCUCACAAAAUUCUAGGAGCGGGAUGAGGCGGUGAGAACCCUCAAGAUUGGGGUUCAACCUUUAAAAUUGUGGUGUACAAUCUUUUUGCAAGGGGCUGUACGGGGCAGUACGCAGCAGCCUAAUUCAAUAAAAAUUCCACAUAUGGACAAAGAGUACCAUAAAUCAAGGAGUUGGGGGCCUGAGGUGGUUGGAAAACAAAUAGAAGAGACAUGGGAGUUGGGACCUGAUAUACAAAUUUAUGGAACAUAGACAAAAGGGGACAAAUUAUUUUAUCAGUAUUCUCAAGGAAAUAGGAUGUUGACUGAAUCACAAAUCCCCCAGUUGAUUUUAAGAAUUAAAAUUUCAUCACACGCUUUCUUGGUUGAUAUUUUUCUUAAAUCUUUUGCCACCUAGUGUUUGUUCACUUCUGUGUCCGGACGGCUCAAUUUGCGUCUCAGUUGACUUGAUAGCGUCCCUCUUCGGGCAGCUGCUUCUUUAUUUGUCCGUCCGAACUUUUCUCCAACUAACGGAAAUAAAAAAAGGAGAGGAAGAAAAAUGAAUCGAUUAAGAAACAUUAAAAACACGGACUAGAAUUUGCCAUGCAUUUCAGACUUUAGAUUAAAAUGUUUUAAAUCUUGUAUGAAUCCUUCAAACAUGGAGUGUAGAUGUUAGUUCACAUUUACAUCUAGCCCAUGUUUUGAAAAUUUUUAUUUUUAUUUUUACUUUUAUUAUUAUUAUUUUUCAAAUCUUACGCAUUUUAUGAAAUCUAUAACUAUAAUCAAUUUCUCAAUCAUACAUUUCAUCAUUUUUAUUAAAAAUUUGAUUUUAUUUUAUCUAAACUUGUUAAGUUCGCAAUUAGUUGGGUCAUUUCAUCUCACCUUUCUAUCCUUAAUUUGAACUUACAAGACAGGUCCAUGGCCACCUCUAUCAGCUUACUCCCUGCCCAGAAUCAUUAAGAGCUGGUUUUGCUGAUUCAUUUUCUUUAAGUUACUUAUUUCAUAUAGCCUGUUUAGUACACAUGCGAUCAAUUAUUGACGAGGCGUUAUAUCCCAAAGUAUGAUUUCUCUGGGUGGAAUUUGUGAUGUCAUUUUAUAGAACUUAUCGUUUUUCUAAUUUCUUCUUUAAUCGAGUGUGAGAGAUUAUCUUUUGAUUUACCACAAGCAGAAGAGUAUUUAAUAGCAUAUUAUCAAACUGACAACACCUCAACACAAACUAAUAUUGUCCAAAUCAAGAGGGAAGGGAGAGUAAACAUGCUAUGCCUCGUCCUACGAAACUCUUGUUAUUUACCAUGUGGAAUUCAUUUAGGAAAUAACAAAAGGUCACUUAACGGUCGCACUCCAAAUCACUUUGCUUACGUGGCCUAAUUAACGGAGACUAUCAAGAAAGGAGGAAGGGAAGUGAACUGUCCCUCAGCUAUCUAACCUCCAUGUCCGAAACGAAGCGCCACGCGCAGUUGCAACGCAUUUUCAAAGUAAAGUGCCUUCGUUCUAGAAGGCAUCUUCCAUUGCUUCGUUCAAAAUAUCAAAAAUGAUUGGUGUAAGGAAUUUUUUUUUUUUUACAGAAUGUGUACAAUCUCUCACAAAGAUAUGGGCCCCACAUGAAUAAAUAAUGUUAAAAAAUUAACUCACCCUCCUCCCCCCACCCCCUAUGUGAGGUGUUGGUAAGGGUUCUACUCUGUACACCUAUCAUCACCCUCAAAAGAUCUUUCAUACAAGAACUUUUGUACAAUUGAUUAUUGAUUGAUUUGACAUUUUUGCGCAGACAUUUCUAAAUUAACUUUUCAGCCUACUUUUUAGAUGAUAGAUCUAGACUAUAAGGUGACCAUUUUUAAGAUCAUCUAAUUCACUUCAACCAUAGGACAGUAGAGGUGAUGAUUGUGAGGCUGAUGCAUUGAUCACCAAGACGAGGACAUGUAUCAUUCAUCCAAUGAUAUUGAUAUCUCAUUUUCUAAUAUAAAGCUCACAAUUGGUAUCAUGUGAUUUACAUGUGAUACUAAUUUACACCCUCCACAUUCACUUAGCUUGGUAAUAUUAUUUCUCUUAAAAUUUGAUUAUUGUACACGUGACUCUUGUUCAUUGUCCAUCCUACAUCCAAAUAUAUCCAUAUAGUUGACUAACUUGAUCGUCGUAGUGUCCGUGAUCGUAUCCCCCACCGCUAGAGAAGGACACAUGCACUUAACGAUAUGUCCAAGUAUGCAGGAGUUUGACACAUUUACAAGAAUGAAAUCGAGAUUUAUUGAUCACGCUGUCCAAAAAAAAAUCGAGGUCAACAAAACAUAUAUCCGCAAAUUGUCUUUUUGAGCCCUAUUUUUAGCAAAGAAUGCAUUUUAGAAUAAUAAAUUGAUAGAUAAUGUGCAGUUAAAAAAUUUAAAAAAAAAGUGUGUGUCCAUUUUGCCUUGGUUUUUCUAUGCAUUUUAGUGAUUGCCUUAGUUUUUUGGACUAUUAUUUUUAAAUUAUUUUUCACUUUAUCGAACCAUUGACACUUAUUUGCAAGACAAAUUUUAAUUUUGUUAAUUUGUUUGAUUAUAAACUUUUUAAGAUGGUUUGUGUAUAUUAUGAGCAUAUUUUCGUAUUUUUAAUUAUUCAAUUAGUUGUAUCUAGGCUUACACCUCAUGUCACAUUGGUAAAAGGGAAAAUUUCAUAAAUAAAAGAUUAAUUAUGCACAUUUUAAAAACAAGAAAACAAGUUUCUAAUUUCAAAAAUCAGAAUUUUAUUGAAAUUUAUUUAUAAUUUAAUUAAUUAAUUUAGAAAUUAAAUAUAUUUAAGUCACAGAUUUAUAUAAUUUGAUCACAAGUUAACGAUUUAAUUCGUCACUUAUUAUUUUUUGAUUACAAAUUAUAAAUUUUAUGUCACAAAUUAUUUUACGGUCACAAUUCAAAAAUUUUAAAGGUCACAAUUUUUUCAUCGAUCACAAAUCGAAAAAUUUAUAAGUCGCGAUUUAUUUAUUGAUCACAAAUCACAUAUACUACAAGUCACAACUUAUUACACACUCACAAAUUAUCAAAUUAUCAGUCAAAUUUUUUAAGUCACACAUUAUUUUUCGAUCACAAUUUAUCUUUUACAUUGAACAUAUAUUAUUUAUUGAUUACAGAUUAACCAAUUUAAUGGUUAUAGUCAACCAAAUAAUUUGUGACCACCACCAACACUUAUGAUUCAUAGUUACAAUUUUUAAGUCAGGUAUCCAAUUUUGAGUCACAGUCAUAAUUUUCGGGUUACAUAUCCAAUUGUGAAUUACAAUUGAGAGUCAUGAUCACAGUAACAAUUUUCAUCGUUACCACGGUCGUCGCCACACACCAAUACCAUAGUUGGGAGUCACAGUCACAGUCCACAACCACCCCAACCGUCCCAAAUCAUCGCCACCACCGUCCCCGCCACACACCAACACCACACUCUUCCAUAUCCAUCACUCUUCCACAUAUGGCCAACAGAUUCACAACACCACACACCUCCACAGAUUGCCACCGUCGUCGCCACACAAACACCUCCACCAGAUCCCUGCCACUUACCAUCACUAUCACCAUUACCGCCACCACCACUACCAUUUGCACCACCACAAGCAUCACCACCACCACCAUCACACUACCAUUUGUAAAAUCAUAUCCACCUACACCCAGCCAAUUAGGAACUCGCAAUCGGUCACCCCAUUCCACCGCAAACAUUCUUCACCUCAUCGACACCCGCUCCUACACAGAUCUGUCAUCCUCAUCAACAAUCCCAUCAACACACCUCGCUGGCCUGCCGCUCCAAUAUUCUUCAAAUCGUCGGCAGCCACUUGCCCAACCAACCACUACACAACGUUGCCACUAGAUCCACCACAACCUGUAGGACCAACUGUAGAGCAACCAUCAUCAUUGACCUCGUCGAAUCCGCUCUCGACCUUCCCAUUGCGAGCUACGACGGCACAGCAAUAGUGAUGUCGCUUCACAUCGUGCACUGCUACUCGUUGUCGCGGCACUCACACAAGAGGAGUUUUUGCAGCAGCAUCCCCGACGGUGACGAUCUGAUGAUAGAGACGAGUGGUGGAGAGUGAUGGGAGAGGAGAUAAUGAUUUGGCCGGCUGCCGAUGUUUGAAAAGUAGAGAGGAAUAGAGAGGGACAAGUAGGCGACCGUAGAGAGGGGGGGAAUGCAAAUUAAUUAGAGUUGGAUAAUUUUGAAUAUUAAUUUUUAAAUAUAUUAAUUAAUUAAAUUUUUUUUAUUUGUGAAAUACUAAACAUGGCAUCUUAUUUAUGAAAUGAGAAUUUUUAAUCUGUUAGAAUCUGUAAUUUCCACUUGGUAAAAUGCUUCUCUACCGAAUUUAGGCUUUUCGAAAAGUUGAAUAUAAUUAUUUAAUACUUUUAUUUCGCACCCAUUUAUCAAUUAAACCUUACCAUAAAUAAAAAUCUCUUGAUUUAGUCUCCUAGCAAUUCAAUUUAUUGAAAACCUACAUAAAAUUGUCAUCUUUCAAAAACUCACAUACUAAACCAACACUUUCCGGAACGAGUUAAGUAAUAGCCAUAAAAGAAGCAACUCUAUGCAAUGUUACGUGUGAAUAUGGUACAUUAUCACAUUGCUCCAAGUAAAUUCACAGCUUGGAAUGGUUGUUAACAAAAUUUAAAGUACAUAAAUUUGUCUUGUCUAUAAUGACUUAAGCUUUACAAUACGAUAGACGACUACUAAUCAACUAUUAUCAGGGCUAUUUGGUGGUGUUGGUACAAAACUACUUAUAUGAGUGACAUCAUGAGUCCAUGCCAUUUUAAAUUAAUAACAUUAUUAUUAUUUUAUUCAUGUGUGAUGGUCUAUUAAUGAGCACCAUUUAUUUUAUAAAUCUUCGCAAGAGCUCUGCUACCUGGAGUGUUGCUUCGUGGACAGGGAUGGGGACAGGGUUUGGGGGACGCCCCCUAUUGGAGGGGUGCCUGUUCCGACGAAGCAACACUUCUGCUACCUAUGCUUAUCUGUAGAGGAAGUUUGACAGUGUCAACUGAUUUGAAUUUCUAAAAUUCAAGUAGACCUGUAUAGAUUAUCUAUACAAGAAGAAUAAUUCACCUUCACAAUUAGAUAGCAGUACUAAGCGGUGACUGAAUAAAACUUACACUUUUCUUAUUAUUACAAAACCAAACACUAUUUAUUUCUUAUUACACUACAAUCUAAUGAUGCCUGAAAACUAGGGUUAGACAAAACUCCCGAACCGAACUGAUCGAACCAAACCUGAACCGAACCCGAUGGUUCUUUUCAAGUUAAAUACCUGAACGGGUAUUUGAAUCAAGAACUGAAGGGUAUGGUUCAGUUCUCGGUUCUAGGCCAAGACCCGAAGAACCGAAUAAAAAUCGAAUCUCCGUACUUUUUUUAAUUAAUUUAUUUUAAAUAAGUAAUAUUAUUUUAUUUUUACUAAAUAAAUUUGUUAACUAGUUAAUUUAAUUCAAACCACAAAAUAUGAUUUUCCUAUUUCUAAUUUUCAGUUCAAAAUAAACUUAAUCAAAUUGACCUCAAUUUUAUCCAAAUCUGUUAUUCUACUGUAGUGUCAUUUCUACCAGAGAAAAUCGAAUUAAAGCUCUACAAUAUCUCUCUUAAUUAUUUUGAGCUCGCUAUCUUUUUCUUUCUGUGAUUUUAAUAAUCAAAUUUAUGAAGAAUUCAGCGAAGAGAGACGUGAAACACAUAAGAUUAAACUACGUAAUUUUGUAAGAGCUAAUAUUGAACAUAUCAUUAAUUAAAUUAACAUAACUUUGUAUAUAUUUAAAAAUUUAAUUAUAAUACGGAACCGAAUGUAACCGAACCGAACCGACCCGAAUGGAACCGAACUCGAACGGUUCCACUUACUAAAUAUCCGAAUAUUUCAGAUCAGUUCGAUUCUCAUUAGAACGGAACUGAACCGGACCAUGUCUAGCCCUACUGAAAACCAGCUAUGGUUAGAAAUAACAUUUAGUUGCAAACUUUUCUAUGGACUGAAACACCUGGGCUUUCACUCAUGUCCAAAUCCUCUCCUUUUGCUCCAUUAGGCAAUUCCCAAUUAUAUUUUAGAAUAAUAUUUGCCAACACAAGUUCGUUAGUUGCCAUUGUGUAAGAGAUCCUUAGACAACCUCUCCGACCAGCCCCAAAAGGGAUCAACUGGAAAUCGAGUCCUUCGAUAUCUUUCUGUGAAUUCAAGAAUCUCUCUGGCCGACGCUUUUUUGGUUCGUCCCAGUAAUUAGGGGCUAGGGAAAUGACCCAUGCAUUGGUCAUGACCAUCGUCCCUACUGCAAUGUCAUAGCCCAUUACAUUGACAUCUUUUCUUGUUUCCCGAGCAAUCACUAAUGGGAUUGUGGUGUGGAAUCGUAGAGUUUCCUUCACUACACUUUCAAAUAAUGCAUUUUUCUAAGUCAGCAUUUGUUAUGUACUGAGAACUCCCCUCACCUUGGUUUGCAACUUUUUCAUGACUCUUGGGUGCCUGAAGAGCUCUGUCAUUUCCCAUUCUAGAACUACGGAUAAAGGGAUUUGUUCCAGGGCAAAGACAUCCUAAAAUAAUCAAGAACGUUGAAAAAUGUAAUCUCUUAAUAUUUAACAUAAAGUUCAUAGCUUUCAAGCAUUUGCACCAAUUUUUUUUGCAGCUAAUUAUAAACAAAUCGUUCUUUAGUACUAUAAUAUUCUUUACCCGAAACAACACUUCAGCGAUUAAAUUAACUAAAAACCCACAAAAGAAGUAACCCAAUACAAUUUAAACUCACAAUAACUUCCAAUUUCAUAAGACCCAUCAAAUAUUACACACGCCCGAAUGAUAAAAUUUUAUGUAUAUGAAUAUAAAAGGAGGCAUAAUUACCUGCUGGGCCUUCAAAAUGGGAAUGGAGAUUUUCCUAUUGGGAAUUUGACGGGUCAUUAGGGUCUGUGUAGAUUUUUUGAGAAAUUGUUGAGAAGAUAAUCUGGGUUUUGCAGUUGAAGACGAUGAUAAUACAUUCAAACUUUCCAAGUACGUAAAAUCUAUCCCGGAACUGAAACUGAAAUUCACUACAUGUGAGUCUGUGUGUGUGUGUGCGCGUGGAGACUGUGACGAAUUUUAAAAAUCAUUUCCUCGAUCAAGAUUUUAAUGGAAAAUUUAGGUGUUCAUUGAGAUUUUAAUUAAAUUUAAUGUAUAGUCAAUCAUUAGUGAAUUUAUAAAGAUUUUAUUAAUAGAGGGAUUUUAAAAGAUUUUGAUGGAUUUCAAACUUAAAAAUAUAUAAUCAAAUCUUUUGAAAUUUCAUCAUAUUUAUUGAGAUUCUUAUGAAAUUUGUGGAAAUCUAUUUAAAUUAACAAAAUUCAUUAGAAUUAUAAGUUUUUAAAAUUCAUCAUCAUCUUAGUUGAGGACACCCCGUUAUAGUUAGAGGGACGAAAUGAAGACUAUUUUUCUUAUGGCAGCAAUAGGGUGGUGUCAAUGCAUUACAGUCCCAUUGGUCCAAAAAUUAUGGCAAGGAAUCAAAGUUUUGGUAAAAAACCAGUCGAGAAAAGGUUAGGACAAGAUCACAAGUUUAGGCAAAGGAUAGAGACCUAAUUUGCAAUUUAUGCUAAACAAAACUUUUCUUGAAUUAUUGGGUCAUGAUUUAGCUGCAGAGUGCUUCUUUUCUUUUUCUCCCUCUCUCUUCACUAUUUCACCGAGGGUUCAAACCCUUGGUUAAAGUCUUACCUCUACUAAUUUAUAAGAAAAUUGUUGCAUCCAGUGAAUAUGUUGAACACCAAAUGAAGCCCAUGUUUGGUUUGGGUAAAAAUUGAUUGUUUUAGUAGAAUUUUAUAAAGAUUGAUGAAAUGCGUGAUUGAAAAUCUGAUUAAAGUGAUGAGCAUCACAAAAUCUGUGAAUAAAAAUGAAUUUGACUAAAAAGCAACUAUCUCUUGUAUAGAUCAUGUAUUGAUAUACUAUAACUAUAAGAUACUCCAUUUUCGUGAAUUACUUCGUUUAUCCGAGUGAUCCACAAAUGAUGAAAAUUUCUCUUUUUUUUAUCCAUAUCUCGGUGAGCCGAAACCAAAGCUCUUGUUUUUUGUUGAGUGAUAGUUGGAGUAAGUUUCAAAUGAGCCCUCGAAAUUAAGCUUGAUGCAAAUAAACGAAUUUUUGUUCUCUGUAUCUAAGCUAUAUAUCAGCGUAUAAUUCUGGUCAUUAAUAAAUGUUAAAAAUUUGGACCCAAACAAGUGCUAAAACACAUGAUUCAGUAAGUUAAACAAGAAAUAAUCGGAGUCUCACAUCGCUCAUUGAGUGCCGCCGACAGCCAGGAAUCACUAUUUGGCUUAACUCUCACUAUUGUCAGGGUUGCUUUGGAAUGGCAUUCGACAACUAGUUAAUUUUAUAACUAUAUGCAUGUUUAUUUGCAUAAUAUAAAAGUCUAUUCUGAUGAAUUAUAUAUUUUAUAAAUUUUCAAUGUAAUAUUAAGUAAUAAUGGAGUAAAAGUGAUUACAUUGUCCUAAUUAAAGAACAAAACACAAUAUUAUUUUUUACUUGUAAACUAUAAUACAUCGCAAUACGAUACAAAUAUUCAAUCCCAACAUAAAAACGAUGGUUCCCCAAUUUAUUUACUUGUGCGAGUGCGUGCGGGGGUGUGUAAAAAGCAUAAAGAAUUAUGAAUGUUUAAUUUGUGGUAGAAACUGCUGUUUCCAUCACGCUGCAUGAAACUCAUAUGGAUUAGAGAUAGCAUUGAGUCACAACAGCAAAAAGAGGAACUUUUCUAUGGAUUGAAAAUCCUCUCCUUUUGCUCCAUUAGGCAAUUCCCAGUCAAAUUUCUGAACAAUAUUUGCCAGAACGAGUUCGUUAGUUGCCAUUGCGAAUGAGAUUCCUGGACAACCUCUUCGAUCAGCCCCAAACGGGAUCAACUGGAAAUCGAGUCCUUUGAAAUCUAUGGACAAAUUUAAGAAUCUCUCCGGCUGAAACUUCUGUGGUUCUUUCCGGUAAAGAGGGUCUUGGCCAAUGGCCCAUGCAUUGGUCAUUGUUGGAAUUAAUUGAAUUUGAUUUGAGUUUGAUUUGGGUUUAAAAUAUUAAAUGUAAUAUUUAAUGAUGUGGGCCAUUGCAAUUAAUUUGGGUGAAUUGGAAAAGUCUCCAAUAUAGGCCCAUAUGUUGAUAAGCCCAUUUUAAGUGUUUUUUAUAUGGAAACGAGUCUCACAUCGAAAGUUUACAAAAAAAUAGUCUUGUUUAUAUAGUGGGUUGUGUGAAUAAUAUAUAAUUUAAUAAGUUACCUACAACUUGGCUAAC
This 12998-nucleotide long non-coding RNA is filed under the name Olea europaea (common olive). RNAcentral describes it as "long non-coding RNA (OEUR_LNC000407)". Lineage: Eukaryota; Viridiplantae; Streptophyta; Magnoliopsida; Lamiales; Oleaceae. The record is from RNAcentral.